RNAcentral lists this transfer RNA (62 nucleotides) under Brachionus calyciflorus. RNAcentral describes it as "tRNA-Val". Lineage: Eukaryota; Metazoa; Rotifera; Eurotatoria; Ploima; Brachionidae. The record is from RNAcentral.
UAAGUCUUAGUGUAACUAUAACACAUAAAGUUUACACCUUUAUAAUGUCAAAAGACAGAUUU